RNAcentral lists this transfer RNA (62 nucleotides) under Anodontites trapesialis. RNAcentral's name for it is "tRNA-Phe". The record is from RNAcentral. Lineage: Eukaryota; Metazoa; Mollusca; Bivalvia; Unionida; Mycetopodidae.
GAAAAAAUAGUCUAUAUAAGACGCAGCACUGAAAAUGCUGAAAAGGCCUCAGCCUAUUUCCA